CCUAAAAAUCCUCCACCUUGUCCCAACCUGCCGCCAGCCUCUCCUUCCUUGGGAUCGCAUUCUAGCACCCCGAUCCAAAAAUCAUGUGUGUCUCCGUCCACCUUCCUUGAUCUCUGUCCCGCUCCAAUACCAAUUCCCAUUCGCAGCAGCAGUAAUGCGCCUUCACUCUACUCUCGCCUGAGCGAGAGGACGAGGCGCCCUAGUUCGCCCUCCCCUGCUACCCGGCUGCGAGCAGAACCUCCCAAGCUUCUCUCAUAUCCUCGCGCGAGUACACACCCAAGGAGAUCGAUCUUAUCCUCCUCCUUGCAGCAGCAGCAGCAUCCGCGGACACGUCCGUCGCCCGCAUGCGAAACCAGCAGCAGGUGUAGCCGUCGCCAAUGUUUGGAGCAGCGCCUCCCCGAGCUCGUCCUCCACCACAUGCCCGGAACCGACGCUGGUUGACCGGAUACGCCUCGCCCAUCUCUUCUCCUUCCUCCCCUUUCCCUCCUCUGCUCUCCCUCUCUCUCUGACCGACUUCUAUGAAUCUGGGGUAGGAGCCCAUGGCCACCAUGGAUGUCCAUCGCCAUUUCACCCAGCCGGCCGCCUUCUUGUUGCCACGCAAAACAGCAGCGCGACACCACGAUAAUCGUCGUACUUUCGUGACGACGAACGAUUGCUUUACGAGCAAAGCAAUAAAGAUUUCCUCACUUUCAUGGAGAAGAAUCGGCCUCUUUUCACCGCAAAACGACAAGGAUUUACCAAACCUUAGGGCUGCUGGGGCUUGGCAGAAAAGAACGAUAGGAAAAAACCGUACAUGAAAAGGUAAAGUGUUUGUAUUGAUAGAUCGAUUGUUGGGGGUUUUCUAAUCGUCCAUGGCCUUAUAUAUAAGGCACGAUGGACUUUGACGUAUACAGGAAGACUUUGCGUACAAUAAUAAAACUCCAAUACUAAACCGAUUAGGAUUUGUUCCCUUGAUUCGGUUACCAUGUAUAACCCUUGACCUUUUAAAAUAGCCAGCUAACCUGCAUCAUGGAAAUCCCUCUUGAACCAAUUCACGUAGGCACUCCUUGUCAUAUAUGAAUAAACUAUUUCGGCCACGUCGCAAUCAUACUUGGAAACCUUAGUGCACCUCCUUUACGUGAAAACUUUGAUACACCUCCUGCAUAUGUAUAGCUUGCCAUCCACGGAGUCUUCAACCUAAAAUCAAACCGAGCCAUGCUAGGACUUGUACUUUAAACCUGUAAAUUUUGUUGGCGCAACCGCCUCCGCCACGCGCACUUGCUCGCGCUCUGAUGAGAGGAAGAAGAGGCAGCGGACUCUGCUGGGUAACUCCCUUUGAACAGGGUGGGUAACUCUUUCAGGCGCUGGUGGGUAACUCUCUCAUGCAGGGUGGGUAACUCUUUCAAGAGCAGGCAGGUAUCUCUCUCAAGCGGGGUGGGUAACUCUUUCACGCGCACGUGGAUAGCUCUCUCAGAAGGCUAAAUUAUGCAUUCCACUUCAAAGCGCCGCCAAGUGCCGGAUCUGGACGGGGGCAAGUCGGUCCGCCUGUUCCCAUGACCUCCGCCGCAGCCCCAUCUCGCCUCUAGACACCGCAAGCCAUGUCGUUGCCGCCCCAUGGUCUCAUCUCGUCACCCAGUUUUCUAAAUUCGUGAACACAAGGCUUGGCCGUUGCUGUGCUCCAAAUAUAUCGGGUUUCCAAUCUUUGCACAAACAUCACUGCAUCACAGUAGUUAUAGCCCAUAGUUUAUGAUAUGUAGGUUCAGGUUCUGUUGUUUUUAAAAUUUAUCUAAACCAGCGCCCCUUACUUAAUACAAAUGCAGCGUGGAUGCAGUGGUUAGCACCACUUGUUGCAUUCAUGAAGUGGUUUGUUCGAUUCCCUGAUUUCCAGUUUUAACAAUGCGUUACUUUUUCAGUUUUUCACCCACACACAUACGGCUGCCUAGGCCUGCACCUUUCCUGGGCCGCUCCAGUGUACUACAGUCCGGACCGCGUAUAUUUUUUUUUCUUUCUCUGUGAUUUAGUAUUUCUCCAUCCAUGCAUAUUCCCAAAAAGGCCUUAAUUUCUGAUUUGCUAAUAACUUAAUAACUGUUUGUUGGAUUAAAAUGAUUUAAGUAUCUAAAAUGUAUAGAAUUUUAUUUAGUUCGACAAUAAGAAACUUCCAACCAAGUUUAAAAUGUUUAA
Molecule: long non-coding RNA, 2160 nt
Organism: Hordeum vulgare subsp. vulgare (domesticated barley)
Lineage: Eukaryota; Viridiplantae; Streptophyta; Magnoliopsida; Poales; Poaceae
Exons: 3
Source: RefSeq, a predicted model, not a curated record